CCGGCGCACGGGUGAGUAACGCGUAUGCAACUUACCUAUCAGGAGGGGGAUAACCCGGCGAAAGUCGGACUAAUACCGCAUGAAGCAGGGGCCCCGCAUGGGGAUAUUUGCUAAAGAUUCAUCGCUGAUAGAUAGGCAUGCGUUCCAUUAGGCAGUUGGCGGGGUAACGGCCCACCAAACCGACGAUGGAUAGGGGUUCUGAGAGGAAGGUCCCCCACAUUGGUACUGAGACACGGACCAAACUCCUACGGAAGGCAGCAG
Molecule: ribosomal RNA, 261 nt
Filed under: uncultured bacterium
Lineage: Bacteria
Description: partial 16S ribosomal RNA
Rfam family: Bacterial small subunit ribosomal RNA
Source: RNAcentral